UGAUUCUGGCUCAGAACGAACGCUGGCGGCGUGGAUAAGACAUGCAAGUCGAACGGGAACUUAUCGGUGGUAACACUGAUUGGAACUAGUGGCGAAAGGGUGCGUAACACGUGGGAACCUGCCUAAAAGUGGGGGAUAGCUCGGAGAAAUUCGAAUUAAUACCGCAUGUGAAGGUAACUUCAAAGCCGGGGCAACCUGGCGCUUUUAGAUGGGCCCGCGGCCUAUUAGCUUGUUGGUGAGGUAACGGCUCACCAAGGCUCCGAUGGGUAGCCGGUCUGAGAGGACGAUCGGCCACACUGGAACUGAGACACGGUCCAGACACCUACGGGUGGCAGCAGUCGAGAAUCAUUCGCAAUGGGCGCAAGCCUGACGGUGCGACGCCGCGUGGGGGAUGAAGGUCCUAGGAUUGUAAACCCCUGUCAUUGGUUAACAACCCUGCGUGUUUAACUGACAUGCAGCUGAUAGUAGCCAAAGAGGAAGGGACGGCUAACUCNGUGCCAGCAGCCGCGGUAAUACNGAGGUCCCAAGCGUUGUUCGGAUUUACUGGGCGUAAAGGGUGCGUAGGCGGUUAGAAAAGUUUGGUGUGAAAUCUUCGGGCUCAACCCGGAAACUGCACUGAAAACUAUUUAACUAGAGGAUCGGAGAGGAGAUUGGAAUUCUCAGUGUAGCAGUGAAAUGCGUAGAUAUUGAGAGGAACACCAGUUGCGAAGGCGGAUCUCUGGACGAUUCCUGACGCUGAGGCACGAAAGCUGGGGGAGCGAAGAGGAUUAGAUACCCUCGUAGUCCCAGCCGUAAACGGUGCGCACUUGCUGUGGGCGGAUUCGACCCCGUCCGUGGCGAAGCUAACGCGUUAAGUGCGCCGCCUGGGGAGUACGGUCGCAAGAUUAAAACUCAAAGAAAU
Molecule: ribosomal RNA, 901 nt
Filed under: metagenome
Description: bacterial SSU rRNA
Rfam family: Bacterial small subunit ribosomal RNA
Source: RNAcentral